This is an RNA transcript of Cimex lectularius (bed bug), 2771 nucleotides long. It is a transcript of the gene named protein GPR107, with no coding region annotated. The transcript has 15 exons. The record is from RefSeq and is a predicted model, not a curated record. Lineage: Eukaryota; Metazoa; Arthropoda; Insecta; Hemiptera; Cimicidae.
GUUUCCAGGUGACGUUCCAAUCAACCCUAUGGCGUAGGACUUGAUUCUUUUUCACUGCUGGUUUUUUAUUUUUAUUUUAAAAUUAUUUUUAAACAACGGAGCAAAUGAUUGUUCCUCCUCGGUGAAGAAAAUUAAGGAAAUAAUCGCGUGCCAUGAGGCACAAGCAAUAUUUGUGCCAUGCUUUGCUCAUGGGCCUUUUCCUCAUCGCCCAUGGGAGGAUACACAAACCGUCAGUUAAGGGCGAUGUGAGAAAAUUCAUAGCACUGAGCACUUUUGGCUUUUACAAUGGUGGAAGUUUGGACGUGAAAUUGAGGAAUUUUCAUGCAGAAGGGGCCGCUCCUGACGAUUUAUUUGGUUUUAGCCUUGAUCGAACCUUGACCGACGGCAUGGGACCGGAUGUUGAUAUCCAUCAGGUACACUGUCUAAAUGAACCGCGUAAUCCUGUGCGUGUUCCAUCUGUACUUUUUAUCAUGGAUAGAAAGAAUAAUGUAUUGCGUAUAAAUUCUACAUACGAGCUGAAAUUGCACAUUUUUAAGGAUAAUAGCCAACUUGCGGCAUUUUUAAGGCUGAGAGAUUCGCUAAGCGAUGAUGUACUCUUCAGUACGAGAGGGACUGUCAAUGGUAACUUCCCGAAAAGAAGCAUUGCGGAGGAGGAGCAGACUAUUCCUCUAAUUCAACCUCAGCCCGGUUAUUACAAUACAAGCUUUGUCAUUUAUGUCUCGAGGGAAAAAGACGAAGGGCUGUACAAUCUCUAUUUUUUCAACUGCCGUAACUACAGACCGAAUCCUAUACCAGUUGAAUUUGAAAUUGAUAUAGUGGAAAAGAACAAAGAGAAUUAUCUUUCUGCUGGAGAAAUGCCAUUACCCGCACUUUAUUCUAUGAUGUCUUUAUUGUUCUUUCUCUCCGGAUGUUUUUGGGUGUUUAUCCUUGUUAAAAGCAAGCAUACUGUAUUCAAGAUCCAUUAUCUCAUGGCGACUCUUGUCUACCUCAAGUCUCUCUCGCUAUUGUUUCAUGCCAUAAACUACCAUUUUAUCGAGAAAAAAGGAGAACAUGUUGCUGCUUGGGCGAUACUCUACUACAUUACACAUUUGCUGAAAGGUUCAGUUUUGUUCAUCACGAUCGUCCUCAUCGGUACAGGAUGGACUUUCAUCAAACAUCUUCUCUUUGAGAGGGACAAAAAGAUUUUUAUGAUCGUUAUACCUCUACAGGUCUUGGCGAAUGUCGUUAAAAUAAUAAUCGAAGAGUCAGAAGAAGGUGAUGUCGAACACAGGACUUGGCUGGAUGUUUUUAUUUUAGUUGAUCUCCUUUGUUGUGGAGCAAUUCUUGUCCCUGUUGUUUGGUCAAUCAGGUAUUUACAAGAAGCUGCCUGCAUCGAUGGCAAAGCCGCUAUAAAUUUACGAAAACUCAAACUGUUCAGGCAUUUUUAUAUCCUUGUUGUUUGUUACAUAUACGUCACAAGGAUUGUUGUUUAUCUCCUAGAGAUGACGGUGUCAUUUCAAUACGAAUGGCUGGACGAGAUGUUCAAAGAAAUGGGAACUUACGUAUUUUUCGUCCUCACCGGGUAUAAAUUCAGACCUGCUUCGGCCAAUCCUUACUUCCAAGUCAACAACGAAGAUGAUGAUACAGAAGAAAUAAUAAUUAGCCAAUGCGGUUUGACUGAAGGGCUCAGCAAGCUUGCGACAAUAGCAAAUGAUCAGAAUGAAGAAGAAAUCGAUCAUUUACUCGUUUCAAAAAGGGAAAGUAGUCAUGAAUAUGACUAAUUUGUAGAAACUGUAUUUUGUAAAUAUCAUUUUCCACCAAUUGCUGUGAAGCUUUUUCAUUUUCUAAUAGUUGUAUGGCCAUAGUGUAAAUAAAAUAAAUGUAACUAAAUUUUUAAUAUACUUAAUCUUUAACUUUUGUUCUUAAUCUUAAAAAAAAAAAUCGACACUAUAAAUAUGUCCUGUCGCUAGUCAUGUAUUAUUUUUUUUUUAAAUUACAAAGCUAUAAAAAAAUUGCAUAUUAAUAAAUUAUCAUAUAUCGUCCACCUAUUUGUUUUGUAAUAUAAAUUUUGGUUUAUUAAUUUACGUAGUUUAACUUUUAAGAAAAGAUUUUAUAGCCUUUUAAAAAAUAUUAUACGGAAUCUUUCUUAGGUGUAAUCUUGGUUCAGUUUUUGUAGAAUAUUCUGUUUUUUAAUACGAUUUUCGUUUCAUAGCACGUAGUGAUGUCAAAAUAUAAGCAUUUGUCAAGAUUGCUAAUCAUUUUGAAAGCAAAAAACCAAAUUACCUCAAGGAUUACGCUGGGAAAAAGAAAUUAUAAAAAAAAAAAUAUACAAAGAAUGACUAUGUUGAAGAAUCGCUUUAGAUUAAAUUGAUAAUAAUAGAUUUAGACAAUUAAGAAUGUAUUAGAUCCACUUUUGAUGACUAUGAGCUAACAUAUCUGUAAACCUUGUCCAUUGUCUUGUUUUUGGGGGGAGGCAAAGAUUGUAUCUAAAUUGAACAUCCUGUGUACAAUUUGUAACUUGAUGCUUGCCAAGCAGUCAUGCACCUAGAUGGAAAAAUGAUGGAACGCAACUGAAAGACCGACACCAAGACAGAAAAACCAAGGCGAUAAGUUUCAAAUUACAGGUUAUCCUGUGGAGAUUACAAAAAUUCAACGAUUUUAAAUUUAUAAGGACAACAGGGUGUUCAAGGAAAAUAUUUUGCAGUGACAUUUUCUUUGAAGGAAAUUGUGUUUCCUCUGAAAUGAAUACUCAAACUGGAACAUAUGGUAUACUUUGUGGGGUGAAGAACAGU